Molecule: transfer RNA, 67 nt
Filed under: Morus rubra (red mulberry)
Lineage: Eukaryota; Viridiplantae; Streptophyta; Magnoliopsida; Rosales; Moraceae
Also listed under: 1 other name
Description: tRNA-Phe
Rfam family: tRNA
About the family: Transfer RNA (tRNA) molecules are approximately 80 nucleotides in length.
Source: RNAcentral
UUCACAAUAAAUAAAGGGAAGUGCGCCGGGAAAACCGGAGAUGCUGGUUCAAUUCCAGCUUGUGAAU